GGGAAUGUAGCUCAAUGGUGAAGUGCAGGCCUAGCAUGCAGGAGACCCUGGGUUCAAUCCCCAGUAGUCCUA
Molecule: transfer RNA, 72 nt
Filed under: Urocitellus parryii (Arctic ground squirrel)
Lineage: Eukaryota; Metazoa; Chordata; Mammalia; Rodentia; Sciuridae
Also listed under: 2 other names
Description: Spermophilus parryii (Arctic ground squirrel) tRNA
Rfam family: tRNA
About the family: Transfer RNA (tRNA) molecules are approximately 80 nucleotides in length. Their secondary structure includes four short double-helical elements and three loops (D, anti-codon, and T loops).
Source: Rfam by way of RNAcentral